GACGAGGAGCUUGCUCCUCUGACGUUAGCGGCNCACNGGNGAGUAACACGUGGAUAACCUACCUAUAAGACUGGGAUAACUUCGGGAAACCGGAGCUAAUACCGGAUAAUAUAUUGAACCGCAUGGUUCAAUAGUGAAAGACGGUUUUGCUGUCACUUAUAGAUGGAUCCGCGCCGCAUUAGCUAGUUGGUAAGGUAACGGCUUACCAAGGCAACGAUGCGUANCCGACCUGAGAGGGUGAUCGGCCACACUGGAACUGAGACACGGUCCAGACUCCUACGGGAGGCAGCAGUAGGGAAUCUUCCGCAAUGGGCGAAAGCCUGACGGAGCAACGCCGCGUGAGUGAUGAAGGUCUUCGGAUCGUAAAACUCUGUUAUUAGGGAAGAACAAAUGUGUAAGUAACUAUGCACGUCUUGACGGUACCUAAUCAGAAAGCCACGGCUAACUACGUGCCAGCAGCCGCGGUAAUACGUAGGUGGCAAGCGUUAUCCGGAAUUAUUGGGCGUAAAGCGCGCGUAGGCGGUUUUUUAAGUCUGAUGUGAAAGCCCACGGCUCAACCGUGGAGGGUCAUUGGAAACUGGAAAACUUGAGUGCAGAAGAGGAAAGUGGAAUUCCAUGUGUAGCGGUGAAAUGCGCAGAGAUAUGGAGGAACACCAGUGGCGAAGGCGACUUUCUGGUCUGUAACUGACGCUGAUGUGCGAAAGCGUGGG
Molecule: ribosomal RNA, 710 nt
Filed under: bacterium Co.J1
Lineage: Bacteria
Description: bacterial SSU rRNA
Rfam family: Bacterial small subunit ribosomal RNA
Source: RNAcentral